UUAGGAAGAGAGGCAAUCGCCGCCGAAGUUAACCCUUCGGGGGAGGAAAGUCUGGACUUCGCAGGAGAGGAUACCAGCGAAAGGCUGGGGGCCGCAAGGCUACGGAAAGUACAACAGAAAGCACACCGUCCCCUGAAAAGGGGAGCAGGCUGAAACGCCGGAAUCAGGUUCCGGCCCCGCCGCAGCAAUGCGGCGGCUGCGGUAAACCCUAUCCGAAGCAAGGGACAAGCUCACAUUCUGUUCUCCGCAGGAGCUUGUCAGGACCGCUUGAGCAGCCGGGCGACCGGCCGCCUAGAUGAAUGAUUGCCCGCCCUUUUAGGGCGACAGAAUCCGGCUUACGAUCUUCCUUAGGGC
This 354-nucleotide RNase P RNA is filed under the name Chlamydiia bacterium. RNAcentral's name for it is "RNase P RNA component class A". It matches the Rfam family "Bacterial RNase P class A". Rfam says of the family: Ribonuclease P (RNase P) is a ubiquitous endoribonuclease, found in archaea, bacteria and eukarya as well as chloroplasts and mitochondria. Its best characterised activity is the generation of mature 5'-ends of tRNAs by cleaving the 5'-leader elements of precursor-tRNAs. Lineage: Bacteria; Pseudomonadati; Chlamydiota; Chlamydiia. The record is from RNAcentral.